UGGGGAAUAUUGCACAAUGGAGGGAACUCUGAUGCAGCGACGCCGCGUGAACGAAGAAGGCUUUCGAGUCGUAAAGUUCUUUUAUAUGGGAAGAUAAUGACGGUACCAUAAGAAAAAGCCCCGGCUAACUACGUGCCAGCAGCCGCGGUAAUACGUAGGGGGCUAGCGUUGUCCGGAAUCACUGGGCGUAAAGGGUUCGCAGGCGGAAAUGCAAGUCAGGUGUAAAAGGCAGUAGCUUAACUACUGUAAGCAUUUGAAACUGCAUAUCUUGAGAAGAGUAGAGGUAAGUGGAAUCUUUAGUGUAGCGGUGAAAUGCGUAGAUAUUAAAAAGAAUACCGGUGGCGAAGGCGGCUUACUGGGCUCAUUCUGACGCUGAGGAACGAAAGCGUGGGUAGCAAACAGG
RNAcentral lists this ribosomal RNA (403 nucleotides) under Chloroflexota bacterium. RNAcentral's name for it is "Chloroflexi bacterium partial 16S ribosomal RNA". It matches the Rfam family "Bacterial small subunit ribosomal RNA", at positions 355 to 776 of the family's 1533-position model. The record is from RNAcentral. Lineage: Bacteria; Bacillati; Chloroflexota.